This 756-nucleotide ribosomal RNA is filed under the name uncultured Glomeromycotina. RNAcentral's name for it is "SSU rRNA". It matches the Rfam family "Eukaryotic small subunit ribosomal RNA", at positions 338 to 1092 of the family's 1831-position model. The record is from RNAcentral. Lineage: Eukaryota; Fungi; Glomeromycota.
GGCCUACCAUGGUGGUAACGGGUAACGGGGAAUUAGGGUUCGAUUCCGGAAAGGGAGCCUGAAAAACGGCUACCACAUCCAAGGAAGGCAGCAGGCGCGCAAAUUACCCAAUCCCGACACGGGGAGGUAGUGACAAUAAAUAACAGUACGGGGCUCUUUCGGGUCUCGUAAUUGGAAUGAGUACAAUUUAAAUCCCUUAACGAGGAACAAUUGGAGGGCAAGUCUGGUGCCAGCAGCCGCGGUAAUUCCAGCUCCAAUAGCGUAUAUUAAAGUUGUUGCAGUUAAAAAGCUCGUAGUUGAAUUUCGGGAUUGACACAUCGGUCGUGCCUUAAGGGGUAUGAACUGGUGUAGUCAAUUUCUCACCUUCUGGAGAACCACGAUGCCCUUAAGUGGGUGUGGCGGGGAACCAGGACCUUUACUUUGAAAAAAUUAGAGUGUUUAAAGCAGGCAUUUUGCGUGAAGACAUUAGCAUGGAAUAAUAAAAUAGGACGGCAUGAUUCUAUUUUGUUGGUUUCUAGGAUCACCGUAAUGAUUAAUAGGGAUAGUUGGGGGCAUUAGUAUUCAAUUGUCAGAGGUGAAAUUCUUGGAUUUAUUGAAGACUAACUACUGCGAAAGCAUUUGCCAAGGAUGUUUUCAUUAAUCAAGAACGAAAGUUAGGGGAUCGAAGACGAUCAGAUACCGUCGUAGUCUUAACCAUAAACUAUGCCGACUAGGAAUCAGACGAUGUAUUUUUAAUGACUCGUUUGGCACCUUACG